GUAGCAUAAUCAUUAGUUCUUUAAUUAGGAACUUGUAUGAAUGGUUUAACAAAAGAAAAGCUGUCUUUAUUAUAAAAUUAGAAAUUAACUUUUAAGUGAAAAGGCUUGAAUUUUUCAAGGGGACGAUAAGACCCUAUAAAGCUUUUAUAUAUUGGUUGAAUUUGAUUAAAUUGUUAAAAUAAAAAUCUUGUUUAGUUAUUUUAUUUUGUUGGGGCGACAUAGGUAUAAUUUAUAUUAACUGCUUAAUUGUAAAACAAUAAUAAGUGAUUUUUGUUAGUGAUCCUUUUUAAAGAUUAAAAGAUUAAGUUACUUUAGGGAUAACAGCGUUAUUUUUUUUGAGAGUUCAUAUCGAAAAAGAAGUUUGCGACCUCGAUGUUGAAUUAAAAUGUCUCCAUAAUGCAGCAGUUAUGGAAGAAGGUCUGUUCGACCUUUAAAUUUUU
This 440-nucleotide ribosomal RNA is filed under the name Pilumnoides nudifrons. RNAcentral's name for it is "partial large subunit ribosomal RNA". It matches the Rfam family "Bacterial large subunit ribosomal RNA", at positions 1956 to 2597 of the family's 2925-position model. Lineage: Eukaryota; Metazoa; Arthropoda; Malacostraca; Decapoda; Pilumnoididae. The record is from RNAcentral.